This 518-nucleotide ribosomal RNA is filed under the name Pediococcus claussenii. Its description in RNAcentral is "bacterial SSU rRNA". It matches the Rfam family "Bacterial small subunit ribosomal RNA", at positions 32 to 503 of the family's 1533-position model. Lineage: Bacteria; Bacillati; Bacillota; Bacilli; Lactobacillales; Lactobacillaceae. The record is from RNAcentral.
AACGCUGGCGGCGUGCCUAAUACAUGCAAGUCGAACGCAUUUCCGUUAAAAGAAUCAGAAGUGCUUGCACGGAAGAUGAUUUUAACAAUGAAAUGAGUGGCGAACGGGUGAGUAACACGUGGGUAACCUGCCCAGAAGAGGGGGAUAACACUUGGAAACAGGUGCUAAUACCGCAUAAUAAAGAAAACCGCAUGGUUUUCCUUUAAAAGAUGGUUUCGGCUAUCACUUCUGGAUGGACCCGCGGCGUAUUAGCUAGUUGGUAAGGUAAAGGCUUACCAAGGCAGUGAUACGUAGCCGACCUGAGAGGGUAAUCGGCCACAUUGGGACUGAGACACGGCCCAGACUCCUACGGGAGGCAGCAGUAGGGAAUCUUCCACAAUGGACGAAAGUCUGAUGGAGCAACGCCGCGUGAGUGAAGAAGGGUUUCGGCUCGUAAAACUCUGUUGUUAAAGAAGAACGUGGGUGAGAGUAACUGUUCACCCAGUGACGGUAUUUAACCAGAAAGCCACGGCUAACUA